AACCUUAUGGACCUGCGGGCGUAUACCUGCGGAAGGAUCAUUACUGUGAUCUACUACUACACUGCGUGAGCGGAACGAAAACAACAACACCUAAAAUGUGGAAUAUAGCAUAUAGUCGACAAGAGAAAUCUACGAAAAAACAAACAAAACUUUUAACAAUGGAUCU
RNAcentral lists this unclassified non-coding RNA (166 nucleotides) under soil metagenome. RNAcentral describes it as "partial contains 5.8S ribosomal RNA, internal transcribed spacer 2, and large subunit ribosomal RNA". The record is from RNAcentral.